RNAcentral lists this ribosomal RNA (531 nucleotides) under uncultured Acidobacteriota bacterium. RNAcentral describes it as "bacterial SSU rRNA". It matches the Rfam family "Bacterial small subunit ribosomal RNA", at positions 355 to 878 of the family's 1533-position model. The record is from RNAcentral. Lineage: Bacteria; Pseudomonadati; Acidobacteriota.
UCGGGAAUUUUGGGCAAUGGGCGAAAGCCUGACCCAGCAACGCCGCGUGAAGGAUGAAAUCCCUCGGGAUGUAAACUUCGCAAGAACGGGAAGAAUAAGUAGGGGACAAUACCCCCUAUGAUGACGGUACCGUUUGUAAGCUCCGGCUAACUCCGUGCCAGCAGCCGCGGUAAUACGGGGGGAGCAAGCGUUGUUCGGAUUUACUGGGCGUAAAGGGCGCGUAGGCGGCCUCCGCAAGUCAAUUGUGAAAUCUCCGGGCUUAACUCGGAAAGGUCAACUGAUACUGCGGGGCUAGAGUGCGGAAGGGGCAACUGGAAUUCUUGGUGUAGCGGUGAAAUGCGUAGAUAUCAAGAGGAACACCUGCGGCGAAGGCGGGUUGCUGGGCCGACACUGACGCUGAGGCGCGAAAGCUAGGGGAGCGAACGGGAUUAGAUACCCCGGUAGUCCUAGCCUUAAACGAUGAAUGCUUGGUGUCUGGGGUUAUAUAGUCCCCGGGUGCCGUCGCUAACGCUUUAAGCAUUCCGCCUGGGG